Perca flavescens (yellow perch) is the source of this 634-nucleotide long non-coding RNA. RefSeq lists it as uncharacterized. The record is from RefSeq and is a predicted model, not a curated record. The transcript is spliced from 4 exons. Lineage: Eukaryota; Metazoa; Chordata; Actinopteri; Perciformes; Percidae.
UGCCUUAGUUGAGUGUGGAGACUCCAAUGUUUGGCAUGGAAAAUCACUGCAGUGACCGCACACAACCUCCGUCUUAUGGCUAAGAAACCGAGAAUGUGCAACACCUUCCUAAAGUUCAGGUAUCAAUUAGGUUGCAGCUAUUAAUAAGGGCCAGGGAUAGACUGGCUGCUGUAAUCAGUCGGGAGCCCAUUGAUUUCGAAUAUCUUCACUUCAUCACCUGUCAGGAACUGCAGUUUUUACGGGCAGGGGCAGCUUAUAUGGAUAUUCCUCAAUGUGUUAUAGUUGGCUUUGAGCAGCUCAAUGAGGUGAUCAAGGCUCUGCUUUCCAACAGUCCUGUCACCCCUUUAGUUGACAAUGUAGCUGUAGUCGAGUGGAAUGGAAGUGUGGGGCAACCUAGAUUGAGUAUCGGUAGGGAUGUUAUUGAAAGUCUUUUAAGCACCAACCUACCUUUGACCACUCUGGCUAAUGCUCAUGGCAUUUCAAGAUCCACCCUGUGUAGGAGGAUGAGAGAGUAUGGUCUCUCAGUCAGACGCAGCUACUCUGACAUUCCCGAUUUUGUCUUUGACAGGAAGGCAAGUAUGACAGUAAAUUCAUGAUGCAUCAAACGUUAUAUACUCGAAUAUGGCCAGAUUCC